RNAcentral lists this ribosomal RNA (1229 nucleotides) under Leuconostoc mesenteroides. Its description in RNAcentral is "bacterial SSU rRNA". It matches the Rfam family "Bacterial small subunit ribosomal RNA", at positions 50 to 1262 of the family's 1533-position model. Lineage: Bacteria; Bacillati; Bacillota; Bacilli; Lactobacillales; Lactobacillaceae. The record is from RNAcentral.
AAUACAUGCAGUCGAACGCACAGCGAAAGGUGCUUGCACCUUUCAAGUGAGUGGCGAACGGGUGAGUAACACGUGGACAACCUGCCUCAAGGCUGGGGAUAACAUUUGGAAACAGAUGCUAAUACCGAAUAAAACUUAGUGUCGCAUGACACAAAGUUAAAAGGCGCUUCGGCGUCACCUAGAGAUGGAUCCGCGGUGCAUUAGUUAGUUGGUGGGGUAAAGGCCUACCAAGACAAUGAUGCAUAGCCGAGUUGAGAGACUGAUCGGCCACAUUGGGACUGAGACACGGCCCAAACUCCUACGGGAGGCUGCAGUAGGGAAUCUUCCACAAUGGGCGAAAGCCUGAUGGAGCAACGCCGCGUGUGUGAUGAAGGCUUUCGGGUCGUAAAGCACUGUUGUAUGGGAAGAACAGCUAGAAUAGGAAAUGAUUUUAGUUUGACGGUACCAUACCAGAAAGGGACGGCUAAAUACGUGCCAGCAGCCGCGGUAAUACGUAUGUCCCGAGCGUUAUCCGGAUUUAUUGGGCGUAAAGCGAGCGCAGACGGUUUAUUAAGUCUGAUGUGAAAGCCCGGAGCUCAACUCCGGAAUGGCAUUGGAAACUGGUUAACUUGAGUGCAGUAGAGGUAAGUGGAACUCCAUGUGUAGCGGUGGAAUGCGUAGAUAUAUGGAAGAACACCAGUGGCGAAGGCGGCUUACUGGACUGCAACUGACGUUGAGGCUCGAAAGUGUGGGUAGCAAACAGGAUUAGAUACCCUGGUAGUCCACACCGUAAACGAUGAACACUAGGUGUUAGGAGGUUUCCGCCUCUUAGUGCCGAAGCUAACGCAUUAAGUGUUCCGCCUGGGGAGUACGACCGCAAGGUUGAAACUCAAAGGAAUUGACGGGGACCCGCACAAGCGGUGGAGCAUGUGGUUUAAUUCGAAGCAACGCGAAGAACCUUACCAGGUCUUGACAUCCUUUGAAGCUUUUAGAGAUAGAAGUGUUCUCUUCGGAGACAAAGUGACAGGUGGUGCAUGGUCGUCGUCAGCUCGUGUCGUGAGAUGUUGGGUUAAGUCCCGCAACGAGCGCAACCCUUAUUGUUAGUUGCCAGCAUUCAGAUGGGCACUCUAGCGAGACUGCCGGUGACAAACCGGAGGAAGGCGGGGACGACGUCAGAUCAUCAUGCCCCUUAUGACCUGGGCUACACACGUGCUACAAUGGCGUAUACAACGAGUUGCCAACCCGCGAGG